CCCCUAGAUGUUCUGGGCUGCACGCGCGCUACACUGAUGCGUUCAACGAGUUUAUGACCUUGCCCGAUAGGGUUGGGUAAUCUUUUUAAAUCGCAUCGUGAUGGGGAUAGAUUAUUGCAAUUAUUAAUCUUCAACGAGGAAUUCCUAGUAAACGCAAAUCAUCAAUUUGCAUUGAUUACGUCCCUGCCCUUUGUACACACCGCCCGUCGCACCUACCGAUUGAAUGGUCCGGUGAAGCCUCGGGAUUGUGGCCAGUUCACUUUAUUGGGAGUUGGCUGCGAGAACUUGUCCAAACCUUAUCAUUUAGAGGAAGGUGAAGUCGUAACA
Molecule: ribosomal RNA, 327 nt
Filed under: uncultured eukaryote
Lineage: Eukaryota
Description: partial 18S ribosomal RNA
Rfam family: Eukaryotic small subunit ribosomal RNA
Source: RNAcentral